RNAcentral lists this ribosomal RNA (474 nucleotides) under uncultured bacterium. Its description in RNAcentral is "bacterial SSU rRNA". It matches the Rfam family "Bacterial small subunit ribosomal RNA", at positions 335 to 800 of the family's 1533-position model. The record is from RNAcentral.
ACUCCUACGGGAGGCAGCAGUGGGGAAUAUUGCACAAUGGGCGCAAGCCUGAUGCAGCCAUGCCGCGUGUAUGAAGAAGGCCUUCGGGUUGUAAAGUACUUUCAGCAGUGAGGAAGGUGGAGUCGUUAAUAGCGGCCUCAUUUGACGUUAGCUGCAGAAGAAGCACCGGCUAACUCCGUGCCAGCAGCCGCGGUAAUACGGAGGAUUCGAGCGUUAUCCGGAAUCAUUGGGUUUAAAGGGUCCGUAGGCGGUCUUAUAAGUCAGUGGUGAAAUCUUCCAGCUCAACUGGGAAACUGCCAUUGAUACUGUAGGACUUGAAUAUUUGUGAAGUAACUAGAAUAUGUAGUGUAGCGGUGAAAUGCUUAGAUAUUACAUGGAAUACCAAUUGCGAAGGCAGGUUACUAACAGAUUAUUGACGCUGAUGGACGAAAGCGUGGGUAGCGAACAGGAUUAGAUACCCUGGUAGGAUAGCGU